CAGCACUGCGCCGACGGCUCGGACGAGCGCGACUGCCCGGCCUGCCUGGGCCCCGACUGCGUGCCGGCCGACCCCGCCACCACCGAUUCGAACGCGAUCCAAACGAGUACGACGGAGGCGGGCAGUGAUGCGGGCGGAAAGGAGGAGGAGGAGGGAUGCGAGGGCGCGCAAUUCCGAUGCGGAGGCGGGGAGUGCGUGCCGCUGGCGUGGCGCUGCGACGGACGCGCCGACUGCCCCGACGGGUCCGACGAGGCCACGCACUGCCGCCACGCGAACGCGUCGGGCGCGUGCACGGCGGCGCAGUUCUCGUGCGGCGACGGGCGCUGCGUGGCG
Molecule: long non-coding RNA, 333 nt
Organism: Spodoptera litura
Lineage: Eukaryota; Metazoa; Arthropoda; Insecta; Lepidoptera; Noctuidae
Source: RefSeq, a predicted model, not a curated record